CUCAUUUGAAAUUCAGAAACGAUGACGAUGAUUCUUAGCGGUUUGGUGACGCUUUU
Caenorhabditis elegans is the source of this 56-nucleotide non-coding RNA. The record is from Ensembl. Lineage: Eukaryota; Metazoa; Nematoda; Chromadorea; Rhabditida; Rhabditidae.